Serinus canaria (Common canary) is the source of this 792-nucleotide long non-coding RNA. RefSeq lists it as uncharacterized. The record is from RefSeq and is a predicted model, not a curated record. The transcript has 3 exons. Lineage: Eukaryota; Metazoa; Chordata; Aves; Passeriformes; Fringillidae.
CUUUAGUAGACAAGUCUGGCACAAACUCAGCAUUUUCUCUCCUCUUUCGCUAGCUUAUAUGAGAAUCUGAAACACUAUAGUCAAGUACACAGCAUUGCCUGAACUGCCCAGUGUCCUACGAUCCCUCUGGACAAUUAGGAAAAGCUGCAUUAGCAAGAACUCAGCAUUCUCUGUCUCACUUUUCUCUGGAGAACUGGGGAAAUGAUGAGCUCCAUCACCUGGCCAGCAGCAGCAGCAGCCACAAAGUCACCUCAGGGACUUGGACGAAGAGAUUCAUCUGCAGCCUUGGCAGCGACUGAACUUCCUCUGCUUGGCAUCAGACUGGUUUUUUGUCCUUUUGUACACUCUGGCCAACAUGGCUGCAAGAACCUUCUCCUCUGCAAUGCCUGCCAUCUGGAACCACCGUGCUGCAUUUCUCUCCCUCAUUCUCCAUCUAUUUUCAGCCUUCAUCUGGAAACAAUAUGUCUCUGUUCUCAUGUCUGGGUCUCUUAACUUCUAGUAAAAAGGGAAAAAAACUUUUAACUUUAUUAACUCUGCAUAGUGUUUUGGAGAUAAAUUUUGUGCGAAAGAUACUAUACAAAACCAUUUCUUUAUUAAAUCACACAAUUGCAGGGGCAGAAUUUACAAUAAAAAGUGAUCUAGAAAUACUUCCUGUUCUGUUAAAUUUAAUAUACAAGGCUGUGUGAAUUUCUUAAGAAAUAGCUUCAAUAUAGAAUGAAAAAAGUUCCUAUUUUUGUAAUUCAUUCAUACUUUUAGAAAAAACAGCCAUGAGUUGGCUCACUUUUCAAAAGU